CCCUUAGACGUUCUGGGCCGCACGCGCGCUACACUGACCAGUGCAACAAGCAUCCGUCCUUGGCCGACAGGCUCGGGCAAUCUUUGAACGCUGGUCGUGAUGGGGAUAGACUUUUGCAAUUUUUGGUCUUCAACGAGGAAUUCCUAGUAACCGCAAGUCAUCAACUUGCAUUGAUUACGUCCCUGCCCUUUGUACACACCGCCCGUCGCACCUACCGAUUGAAUGGUCCGGUGAAGCCUCCGGAUUGGCGCGCACCUCGGUGCCGCCGAGAAGUUGGCUAAACCUUACCAUUUAGAGGAAGGUGAAGUCGUAACA
Molecule: ribosomal RNA, 315 nt
Filed under: uncultured eukaryote
Lineage: Eukaryota
Description: partial 18S ribosomal RNA
Rfam family: Eukaryotic small subunit ribosomal RNA
Source: RNAcentral